CAGCUCUCUAGGAAAGAAGAUCUUAUUCGCGGCUAGUAAUUAUGACUGGUGCCUAGUGCCUGGUGGCUUUACACUGAGAGCAGCGUGACUACAGUGUAGAAUAUCGUAAAAGGAGAGGAUAAUUCAAGAUACUGCAUGAGACGGAUGCAAUGGAGUGAAACAGUGGAGGAAAAUGCCAUUGGACGCUGGGAAGAGAAACUUCCUGGCAGAACCCUUGAGCCACAAUGCCACUUGGACGGGAUUUAUGGACAGCUUUUCAAAACAAGCAUUCGAAACAUGAAUGUGCAUCCAGAGGCAGCUUGGGCAAAGAAUGCCAUUUUUGUUCUUCUUUUUUGCUUACCAGUUAAACACAAACAUUUGAAUAAAUGAAUAAUUUGGCAUCCAUGUGAACGUUUCAUACGCUACACACACUUUUUGCUUUCUAAAUAGUCACACAAUUUCUUCCUAGAUUUUGAAAGAUGCCAUUUUGAGAAAGAAAAAAAUACAAUAUAAUGUUUCAAAAGUUGUGAAAGAAAUGGUUAAUGUUUCUGCCAGUUCUCAGUCAGCAACUGGGUAUUCGAAAAAAUCAUAUUCUCAGAUACGAGCAAAGAUAUACAACUACAUGUUCCUAAACUGGGC
RNAcentral lists this long non-coding RNA (618 nucleotides) under Anser brachyrhynchus (Pink-footed goose). RNAcentral's name for it is "lncRNA (ENSABRG00000003980.1)". The record is from RNAcentral. Lineage: Eukaryota; Metazoa; Chordata; Aves; Anseriformes; Anatidae.